Molecule: ribosomal RNA, 337 nt
Filed under: uncultured Pseudomonadota bacterium
Lineage: Bacteria; Pseudomonadati; Pseudomonadota
Description: bacterial SSU rRNA
Rfam family: Bacterial small subunit ribosomal RNA
Source: RNAcentral
AGCGAACGUUAGCGGCACGCCUAACACAUGCAAGUCGCACGAGAAAGGGAGCAAUCCUGAGUAAAGUGGCGCACGGGUGCGUAACACGUAGAUAACCUGCCCUUUGGAGGGGGAUAACGUUCCGAAAGGAGCGCUAAUACCGCAUAACGCCUUUCCCGGUUUGCCGGGGAUUGACAAAGGUAGGGACCCGCAAGGGCCUAUCGCCAGAGGAGGGGUCUGCGGCCCAUCAGCUAGUUGGGGAGGUAAUGGCUCACCAAGGCAGAGACGGGUAGCUGGUCUGAGAGGAUGAUCAGCCACACUGGUACUGGAACACGGACCAGACUCCUACGGGAGGCUG